This is a non-coding RNA of Paramuricea clavata, 920 nucleotides long. The record is from the annotation of a GenBank genome assembly. NCBI's taxonomy places the organism in Eukaryota, Metazoa, Cnidaria, Anthozoa, Malacalcyonacea, Plexauridae.
AGAUGAUGUUUAAUAGCACAAUUUCGCACAUAAAUUUAAUUUAAUUUUUUAAUUUAUCUGACUUUGCCUUGGUAACAAUAUUAAGAAGAAACAUCAAAUUACUAUAUAUAUAUAAACAAGGCAGGAUUUCCGCAACAGCUACAGCCAAUUACUGCGGAUCCUUCUUCACAAUAUUCGUUAAAUUAGUUAAGUUUACUGAACAGUAAACGGAAAAGGACUAAAUAAUAAAAUCAAUCAAUCAUUAACGAAUUGUUCAAUUGACGUGUUCAAUCAACCAACCAAGAGAUCAAGCAAUCAGACACUUACUUAUAAAAAUAUAUUUUACCAUUGGUAAAGCAAAACCUUUCCAUACAAUGUAAUAGUACGGAUAUGAAAAAACCUUAAAAACACAGUGACUGAAAUUUACACACAAUCCAGUUUGAAAAUAACCUGAAAGAUUCCCGUUCACAGCCGCGAUUUGGAAUUACCUGGUAUGGAAAGGCCCUGGUUUUACCAAAAUAUAAAUAAUCAGUUGCGCGAGGUUCAAAAACAACAAGAAGGGGGAACCAGCAAACUUCGAACACAGUUACAUUUGACACAGGUUGUCUUCCAUGUACGUGGGUCGUCAGGGUCGAAAGUUAAGGAAAGAGCGGAGUAGUAGUAUUCUUUCAGAAUAUUCUUGAAAGUGGCAAGAGAAGAUUUGUUGUGGUUUUGGGUUAUUUCUUUCGGUAGUGCGUUCCAUGUCCGUGUUGAUCGUAUUAAGUAAGAUCUGCUGUACGUUGAUGUUCUGUAUCGUUGCUCUUUGAAGGUAGUACCAACCGCACUACGCGACAAUCUUGUUGAUCUCUCAGAUUUCUUUGAUUUCGGUAGGAAAGUAUCGUUCACAUGGAUAAGAUUGUUUAUUAGUUUGAAGAAAAAGACCAUGUCUAAGUACUCAUGCC